Molecule: long non-coding RNA, 1664 nt
Organism: Monodon monoceros (narwhal)
Lineage: Eukaryota; Metazoa; Chordata; Mammalia; Artiodactyla; Monodontidae
Source: Ensembl
CGCAGGCUCCUCCCGCGGGCGGGGCCUCCGGGCCACCCCGCUGCGGCGCAGGUGUUGCUGUCCGGGGUCCGAGGGCUGCCUAGUGGUGCCGCCUACUCCGCCGCCCCGGCCGGGCUGAGCCGGCAAGGGGAAGCCGCAGCGGGGUUGCGGUCGGCGCCGCUGAAGGGAGCUCGCAGCGGCCUCCUCGGCUGCCUCGUGCCCUGUCCUGAAAGGUCCCGGGACCCCGAGGAGCGGAGGAGAGAGCCGCCUCUGCCAACGCAGAUUCGGGGUCAGCACGUGGGGUGCCGUGAACCGAGCGCUCAAGCCCCAGUGUUACACCGGCAGGAGGGUGCGGGGGAGCCCCGAGUCCGGGAGAGGGCCGGUCCCCCUGUUCUGGGGUCUCCCCUCGGCCACCCCGCACAGUCGUCUGGAUGCCCGGGUCAGGAAACCCCUGUGCACCUCCCCGAGUCAAUUUCCGAGAAGCAGUGGAGUAAAUCCUACUUAAAGAAGAGAUACCUACGGGCUUCCCUGGUGGCGCAGUUGUUAAGAAUCCACCUGCCAAUGCAGGGGAUACGGAUUCGAGCUCAGGUCUGGGAAGAUCCCACAUGCCACAGAGCAGUUAAGCCUGUGCACCACAACUACUGAGCCCGCGCGCCUAGAGCCCGUGCUCCGCAACAAGGAAAUCACCGCAGUAACCAGACCGCUGACCGCAACGAAAAGGAGCCCCGCCCGCAACUAGAGAAAGCCAGCGCGCAUCAACGGAGACCCAAUGCAGCCAAAAUUAAUACAUAAGUAAAUUUUUAAAAAAGAAUAGAUACCUAAAGCACCUAAAAUUUUGUGUUACAGUUGUUUUGAUGUUAUCUGUCUUCUGCUAAAGGUCAAAAAGAUAUCAGAACCCUUUUAAAAUGACCAGGAUGUAUUCUGCGGUCCCAUGGAUUUAUUCAAAUUUCCUAUAACCAUGUUAUUUUACAUUGGAAAUGUGUAUACUCUCCUUGAGGAAUAGUGACAUCCUGAAUCAUCUAAAAAUAAGUCAGCUGUGUUCCCUAGUUAUCAAGGAGAAAAAAGCGUAAUAAUACAUUUUGGAGGGAAAAAAAAAACUCAGCAAGCAAAAAUUAAAACAUAAAAAUUAGGGCUUCCCUGGUGGCGCAGUGGUUGAGAGUCCGCCUGCCGAUGCAGGGGACACGGGUUCGUGCCCCGGUCCGGGAAGAUCCCACAUGCUGCGGAGCGGCUGGGCCUGUGAGCCAUGGCCACUGAGCCUGCGCGUCCAGAGCCUGUGCUCCGCAACGGGAGAGGCCACAACAGUGAGAGGCCCACGUACCGCAAAAACAUAAAAAUUAUAUUAGCAGCCCUCAAAUUAACUACCAACUUUCAAUUACCCAUAAUACCUGUAUACCUUAGUCUUCUCUUAAGGUUUUAUUCUACAUAGAUUUAACAUUUUAUUGAGAUCACAGUAAUAAUAGGCUGUUCACUUUGUCCUGUCCAAAGCCUCUGAAUAAUCUCUGUUCUUAAUACUUUUUCUCUUGUCAUUUUCCCCCCCACACUCAUAGAUUCAAUAAAUAACACCAAAUUUAUAUAACUGGGCCUGACCUAAAGUUUAUUUCUGAUUUUCAGUUUCAAACCAGGCAUUUCUACAUGGAUUCGUGCCUCAAAUUCAUCCGCCUCUAAACCUUAUCAGUUCCCUUUCC